This 489-nucleotide ribosomal RNA is filed under the name uncultured bacterium. Its description in RNAcentral is "partial 16S ribosomal RNA". It matches the Rfam family "Bacterial small subunit ribosomal RNA", at positions 28 to 507 of the family's 1533-position model. The record is from RNAcentral.
GACGAACGCUGGCGGCGUGCUUAACACAUGCAAGUCGAACGGAAAGGCCCCCACCUUGGUGGGGGUGCUCGAGCGGCGAACGGGUGAGUAACACGUGGGUGAUCUGCCCUGUACUUCGGGAUAAGCUUGGGAAACUGGGUCUAAUACCGGAUAGGACCAUGGUUUAGUGUCUCAUGGUGUAAAAAUUAUUGUUUUGGUGCAGGAUGAGCUCGCGGCCUAUCAGCUUGUUGGUGGGGUAAUGGCCUACCAAGGGGUCGACGGGUAGCCGGCCUGAGAGGGUGGACGGCCACAUUGGGACUGAGGGACGAGCCAGACUCCGACGGGAGGCGGCGGUGGGGAAUAUUGAACGAUGGGAGCAAGACUGAUGCAGCGACGCCGCGUGGGGGAUGACGGCCUUCGGGUUGUAAACGCUUUUCGUGAGGAACGAAGCCACACCUUUCUUGGGUGGGGUGACGGUACCUUUGUUAGGAAGCCCCGGCUAACUACGUG